Long non-coding RNA from Gallus gallus (chicken), 1413 nucleotides. RefSeq lists it as uncharacterized. The record is from RefSeq and is a predicted model, not a curated record. Lineage: Eukaryota; Metazoa; Chordata; Aves; Galliformes; Phasianidae. The transcript is spliced from 4 exons.
GAAGCUCUCAACCCUAUCAUGGCCAUCGUUCAUUUCCAGACAUUCCCAUUCUUUCUUAACGUAGAGGGCUGCACCACUGCCUUUCCUGCCUUGCCUCUCUCUUUUGAAAAGUCGCUAGCCAUCCAUCACAGCACUCCAGCUGUGUGAGUCAUUCCACCACGUUUCUGUGAUUUUUCUCCUGUUUUUGGAUUCCAAGAAAAGCCAGGUAGGAUUAUUUUUAUUGUUAUUCUUUUUUUAAUGGCAGGCAUUGUGUUCAACUUAAAAAAGGAACGCAUGAAGAAUAGCUUUGUUUGCAUUCUGGUAAGUGCUGAGGCUUUGGCUGAUGACAGCUUUCAGCUGCAGCUGAACUAGGCUGGAUUUGUCUCCUGCUCUCCAUAGGUGAGUGUUUCUCUUCCAGAUCUUUGAAUCAGCUUUCUACACGGCUUAAGCGAUGGAACAGGAAAGACUCCAAUAUGGUAACAACGUGAUUUCUAGUGUUUUGGAAAGAUUGUUUCACGUGUAAUGAAAAGCUAGUGUCCAGAUGAUCACUGCGGCCAGAUGGCAAUUUUGAUGCCCUCGUCACUAAGACUUGUCCAAGCCCUGAUGUAUGUGAAGCUCAUCAGGAGGGAAUGCUCGCAAGAAUCAGCUAACACAAUAGCAGCAAGCUUUCAGUGACAGCGUUCAGGAAGGGUGACGAUUCAGGCUGGGAGCAGGUAUGUCAUCACCUGACUUGACCACAUGUAACUUGAUGCUAGAAGUACACCACGUCCUCCCUCCCUGCAUGGCAAGAGAUUGCUCUCUUCUCCUGCAAAGGCAGCCAAAGUAACUUCUGUGUGCUGACUAGAGAGAGAAAACUUGGUGUCACUCCUCGCAAGUCCUGUGGCAGCCAGAUACUGUGUUAGCCACUCACAGGUAGCAUGUCUUUGGUAUCAGGGUGUAAGAGAAUGAACUCUGUAGGAGCGCUGCUGUCAUAGGCCACCAAGGGCCCGGGAUGCCUGGCUGAAAUUUGAUGUUGCAGAUACCUUGGUGUCACUGGAAUCCAUGGAGUUGACACAGUCCUCUGAUGGCUGGAUUUCGGCUUUCUAAGGGUGUAUGGGAACUGUAUAAUCACAGCCUGACCCUCUGUUUGACCACCUGAGGCGAGUGCUGAGUCAGCUGCAGGGGCACAGGUGAUGGCAGUUUCACCUGAGUGACCGGAAGGGGUGGACCCUGGCUGCAGCCCUGCUAGACCCCAUGUAAGGGCUGACUCCCAAGGAGGAAGGCUCUCUCUCUGGAGGUCACCCUUAGUGGAGCUGUUCUGCGCACCCAGGGUACGGGAAAGCAGUGCGGAGGGAACGUGUGUGGUGAGAUGCUGAGGAGAGAUUGCCUUCCUUGCCCCAGCAGGCUGCUUGUGUCCUGGUGAUGCACGGUGACGAGAAGGCUGCUGUUCUGUGA